RNAcentral lists this ribosomal RNA (305 nucleotides) under uncultured bacterium. RNAcentral describes it as "bacterial SSU rRNA". It matches the Rfam family "Bacterial small subunit ribosomal RNA", at positions 336 to 657 of the family's 1533-position model. The record is from RNAcentral.
CGCCUACGGGAGGCAGCAGUGGGGGAUAUUGUACAAUGGGGGAAACCCUGAUGCAGCGACGCCGCGUGAGUGAAGAAGUAUUUCAGUACGUAAAGCUCUAUCAGCAGGGAAGAAUAAUGACGGUACCUGACUAAGAAGCCCCGGCUAACUACGUGCCAGCAGCCGCGGUAAUACGUAGGGGGCAAGCGUUAUCCGGAUUUACUGGGUGUAAAGGGUGCGUAGGUAGUUUAGUAAGUUGGCGGUGUAAUUCCGGGGCUCAACCUCGGCGCUACCGCCAAAACUCUUAGCCUAGAGUGCAGGGGGGG